CAUUGUUCGCAAUGAUGUCGAUCUGCCGCUCAAGCGACAUCUGCCGCGACAAAGCGACGAGAAGCGUAUUCUCCAUCGGCCAAUCUCCCCUUGUUGAGCCGCGCCGUGCCUCUCCCAAGGCGUGACGCGGAUCGUGCGAACCGUUGAAGCUCUCCCAAGCCGCGGUUCACCAUCACCAAUGCCAGAGGUGUGCCAACUCAAAAAUACAAGUAAUUUCAAUUUGUUAUUGAUUUCGAGGG
RNAcentral lists this unclassified non-coding RNA (239 nucleotides) under Hevea brasiliensis (rubber tree). Lineage: Eukaryota; Viridiplantae; Streptophyta; Magnoliopsida; Malpighiales; Euphorbiaceae. The record is from RNAcentral.